GGAAGUAAAAGUCGUAACAAGGUCUCCGUAGGUGAACCUGCGGAGGGAUCAUUACACAAAUAUGAAGGCGGGCUGGAACCUCUCGGGGUUACAGCCUUGCUGAAUUAUUCACCCUUGUCUUUUGCGUACUUCUUGUUUCCUUGGUGGGUUCGCCCACCACUAGGACAAACAUAAACCUUUUGUAAUUGCAAUCAGCGUCAGUAACAAAUUAAUAAUUACAACUUGCAACAACGGAUCUCUUGGUUCUGGCAUCGAUGAAGAACGCAGCGAAAUGCGAUAAGUAGUGUGAAUUGCAGAAUUCAGUGAAUCAUCGAAUCUUUGAACGCACAUUGCGCCCUUUGGUAUUCCAAAGGGCAUGCCUGUUCGAGCGUCAUUUGUACCCUCAAGCUUUGCUUGGUGUUGGGCGUCUUGUCUCUAGCUUUGCUGGAGACUCGCCUUAAAGUAAUUGGCAGCCGGCCUACUGGUUUCGGAGCGCAGCACAAGUCGCACUCUCUAUCAGCAAAGGUCUAGCAUCCAUUAAGCCUUUUUUUCAACUUUUGACCUCGGAUCAGGUAGGGAUACCCGCUGAACUUAAGCAUAUCAAUAAGCGGAGG
Molecule: ribosomal RNA, 593 nt
Filed under: Alternaria sp. IIScCR2
Lineage: Eukaryota; Fungi; Ascomycota; Dothideomycetes; Pleosporales; Pleosporaceae
Description: eukaryotic LSU rRNA
Rfam family: 5.8S ribosomal RNA (bases 220-373)
Source: RNAcentral